Long non-coding RNA from Zingiber officinale, 102 nucleotides. RefSeq lists it as uncharacterized. The transcript is spliced from 3 exons. The record is from RefSeq and is a predicted model, not a curated record. Lineage: Eukaryota; Viridiplantae; Streptophyta; Magnoliopsida; Zingiberales; Zingiberaceae.
AACUUAAAGGCUUUGAUCAUUAAGUCCAUGAUGCUUCCUUCCAACAUGUUGAUAACCAUGCUAAUUGAAGAACCAAUUAAAUGAACUGGAAGUAAAGCAAGG